Molecule: ribosomal RNA, 478 nt
Filed under: uncultured bacterium
Lineage: Bacteria
Description: partial 16S ribosomal RNA
Rfam family: Bacterial small subunit ribosomal RNA
Source: RNAcentral
GACGAACGCUGGCGGCGUGCUUAACACAUGCAAGUCGAACGUGCUUAUUGUGGGCAUUCUUUCGGGAAUGGAAAUGAAAUGAAAUUGGCGACCGGGUGAUUAACACGUUAGCAGCCUACCUUACACAGGGGGAUCGCCGUUGGAAACGACGAUUAAUACUGCAUGAGACCGCUGAAUCGCAUGAUAUAGGUGUCAAAGAUUUAUCGGUGUAAGACGGGCUCGAGUGUGAUUAUCUUGUUGUAACGGUAAACGCCUACCACGGCGACGAUCAGUAGACGGUGUGAGAGGAUGAACGGCGACACUGGAACUGAGACGCAGUCCAGAAUCCUACGGGAGGCAGCAGUGCGGAAUAGUGCACAAUGGGGGGAAUGCUGAUGCAGCGACGCCGGGUGAGCGAAGUAGGUUGUCGAAUAGUAAAGCGUUGGUAUAUGAGAAGGUAAUGACGGUAUCAAAGGAGGAAGCCCCGGCUAAAUACGUG